Molecule: transfer RNA, 72 nt
Filed under: Cyanidium caldarium
Lineage: Eukaryota; Rhodophyta; Bangiophyceae; Cyanidiales; Cyanidiaceae
Description: tRNA-Asn
Rfam family: tRNA
About the family: Transfer RNA (tRNA) molecules are approximately 80 nucleotides in length.
Source: RNAcentral
UCCUCGAUAGCUCAGAGGUAGAGCAAUCGGCUGUUAACCGAUGGGUCGUAGGUUCAACCCCUACUCGAGGAG